GGAAUAUAAGAACCCGUCUCUUAACUUUUAACUAAAAAAGUUAAGAGACGGGUUCUUAGCUUUUUUUAAAUAAGAGAUUUAAGAACCGGUUCUUAGCUUUUUUUAGUUAAAAGUUAAGAGACGGUUCUUAUAUUCC
This is a microRNA precursor of Brassica oleracea var. oleracea, 136 nucleotides long. It matches the Rfam family "MIR9563 microRNA precursor family". The record is from Rfam. NCBI's taxonomy places the organism in Eukaryota, Viridiplantae, Streptophyta, Magnoliopsida, Brassicales, Brassicaceae.